UGUAACUCUUAGAAUUGAAUAGAAAUUGGGUUGCAACCAAGACACACUUGUUUCUGGAUGAGCUAGGAGUUUCCAAACCAAAAUUUAGCUUAAUUGGAGUUUUGUAAUAAAAGUUAUUCAAAUUGAAAGGUACUAAGCUUGUUAGUUUCUAAAACAGAUUUUGACUCAUUUUUACUUAACUUCCAGGUAAUGUAACUUCUUCAUUAAAAAUGGUAUUAACUCAGAACCAAUUGAGAAAGAAACCUGGAUG
RNAcentral lists this long non-coding RNA (250 nucleotides) under Arachis ipaensis. RNAcentral's name for it is "long non-coding RNA (AIPA_LNC001458)". Lineage: Eukaryota; Viridiplantae; Streptophyta; Magnoliopsida; Fabales; Fabaceae. The record is from RNAcentral.